RNAcentral lists this ribosomal RNA (467 nucleotides) under uncultured bacterium. RNAcentral describes it as "partial 16S ribosomal RNA". It matches the Rfam family "Bacterial small subunit ribosomal RNA", at positions 28 to 506 of the family's 1533-position model. The record is from RNAcentral.
GACGAACGCUGGCGGCGUGCUUAACACAUGCAAGUCGAACGGAAAGGCCCUGCUUUUGUGGGGUGCUCGAGUGGCGAACGGGUGAGUAACACGUGAGUAACCUGCCCUUGACUUUGGGAUAACUUCAGGAAACUGGGGCUAAUACCGGAUAGGAGCUCCUGCUGCAUGGUGGGGGUUGGAAAGUUUCGGCGGUUGGGGAUGGACUCGCGGCUUAUCAGCUUGUUGGUGGGGUAGUGGCUUACCAAGGCUUUGACGGGUAGCCGGCCUGAGAGGGUGACCGGCCACAUUGGGAAUGGGAUACGGCCAGGACUCCUAGGGGGGGAAGGGGGGGGGAAUAGUGCAAAAGGGGGGGAAGCCUGAUGCAGAAACCCCGGGUGCGGGAGGACGGCCUUGGGGUGGUAAACCGCUUUCGCCUGUGACGAAGCGUGAGUGACGGAAAUGGGUAAAGAAGCACCGGCUAAAUACGU